Molecule: ribosomal RNA, 253 nt
Filed under: uncultured bacterium
Lineage: Bacteria
Description: partial 16S ribosomal RNA
Rfam family: Bacterial small subunit ribosomal RNA
Source: RNAcentral
UACAGAGGUGCCAAGCGUUGUUCGGAAUCACUGGGCUUAAAGCGCGUGUAGGCGGGAUGGAGGGUGUUUGGUGAAAGCCCACGGCUCAACCGUGGAAUGGCCGGGCAAACCAUCAUCCUUGAGGCAGGUAGAGGUGAGCGGAACGUUAGGUGGAGCGGUGAAAUGCGUAGAGAUCUAACGGAACGCCGGUGGCGAAAGCGGCUCACUGGGCCUGUCCUGACGCUGAGACGCGAAAGCGUAGGGAGCAAACGGG